AGUCGAGCGGGGUGNUGGUGCUUGCACUAUCACUUAGCGGCGGACGGGUGAGUAAUGCUUAGGAAUCUGCCUAUUAGUGGGGGACAACAUUUCGAAAGGAAUGCUAAUACCGCAUACGUCCUACGGGAGAAAGCAGGGGAUCUUCGGACCUUGCGCUAAUAGAUGAGCCUAAGUCGGAUUAGCUAGUUGGUGGGGUAAAGGCCUACCAAGGCGACGAUCUGUAGCGGGUCUGAGAGGAUGAUCCGCCACACUGGGACUGAGACACGGCCCAGACUCCUACGGGAGGCAGCAGUGGGGAAUAUUGGACAAUGGGCGCAAGCCUGAUCCAGCCAUGCCGCGUGUGUGAAGAAGGCCUUAUGGUUGUAAAGCACUUUAAGCGAGGAGGAGGCUACUUUAGUUAAUACCUAGAGAUAGUGGACGUUACUCGCANAAUAAGCACCGGCUAACUCUGUGCCAGCAGCCGCGGUAAUACAGAGGGUGCAAGCGUUAAUCGGAUUUACUGGGCGUAAAGCGCGCGUANGCGGCUAAUUAANUCAAAUGUGAAAUCCCCGAGCUUAACUUGGGAAUUGCAUUCGAUACUGGUUAGCUAGAGUGUGGNAGAGGAUGGUAGAAUUCCNGGUGUANCGGUGAAAUGNGUANAGAUCUGGAGGANUACCGAUGGCNANNNCAGCCNUNUGGNCUAACACUGACGCUNANGUGCGAAANCAUGG
RNAcentral lists this ribosomal RNA (710 nucleotides) under Acinetobacter sp. ANC 4051. RNAcentral's name for it is "partial 16S ribosomal RNA". It matches the Rfam family "Bacterial small subunit ribosomal RNA", at positions 60 to 764 of the family's 1533-position model. The record is from RNAcentral. Lineage: Bacteria; Pseudomonadati; Pseudomonadota; Gammaproteobacteria; Moraxellales; Moraxellaceae.